Molecule: long non-coding RNA, 3036 nt
Filed under: Phaseolus vulgaris (common bean)
Lineage: Eukaryota; Viridiplantae; Streptophyta; Magnoliopsida; Fabales; Fabaceae
Description: long non-coding RNA (PVUL_LNC001263)
Rfam family: MIR319 microRNA precursor family (bases 1070-1150)
Source: RNAcentral
ACCAGAAUUUGACUUCUAGGAUACAGAAUUAUAAGAGGUAUUGUUUUUCGUUUUAAUUUUUUGCAAGCACAACUAUAGAUGGUAAUUUGACUCUCCGAAAACUGAAUUCCCACCAUGAAUAAUGAAUAGUGAAAAGUGCUAGUCUAGAAAAUAAUUUACAAACGAAUCUAUGAGCUUGAGAAAAUUAUUGAGGGAAAAUUUUUGGAAAAUAGGAGAGACAGAAAAGUUGUAUGGAAAUAAAAUGCAGUUCCUAUCAGGUGAUUAUAAAAGGAAUGAAGGUAGGAAUGCAGUCCCAUCUGAAGUCCUUGAUGGGACACAAAGUGAAACAUUAACUUUCAUCAAAUUAAAGAGAUUUUGAGAAUCCUUGUUCAGAGCAGUAGAUAUAUAUAGGACCACCAAGUGAGAAUGGUUGGAAAAGCAGAACCUCAUAGGAACUCAAUGCCCCUAAGUGGAAAAGGAAAAGGGAAAUGACACUAAUCAGUGCUGAGAUUUAUAUUCCUUUAUGAGAAUGUUGUUAAUUCUUGUUACACACUUAUAGGAUACUUCUUCACUGCACAUUAUUUACUACCUUCAUUGUACUCCAGAUAUGAUUCUUCUUAACUUAGAUGGAUAUUAUUAAACACUAGAACUUUUUCUCCAUAUCUUUGAAAUAAAAGUGCUGCAGAAAAGUGUUGCCAGCAAGCAUUUAUGUUGUUGCACUUUUGUAACUAGGGGAGGGUUACUUUGAACUGAGUCAUGUACCAUUUUCCAGCUAUGCCUAUGGUGGCUAGGUGCUACUUACACGGCUAAAAUCACUUCUUGAGGAACAAUGAAAGCAUUGAAUUGUCAAAAAGGAGGCACUUUGUUUUUAGUGGUUUGUAAGUUGUAACGGUAACUUCAGUUAUAAAUGUGUACACUUCUUCAUUUUCUUUUACAUAAGUUUUUAGGGUACAUGCUAGAAAUUGAAUUCAACUGAACAGAAUUUUUAGACCAUUACUAAUUGAAUCAUGGUGAGGAAGAGGAGUUUGUAUAAAUGAACUUGUUUACAUUCUCUUUUUCUUCACAUGUAUUGGUGGAGUUGUGAAAGCUGCAGAAAUGGGAGUUCUUUGCAGCCCAAAGCUUCCAAGCACAAGUUGCUUUGGUUUUGGACUGAAGGGAGCUCCUACUUCUUCACUUUCCCAUAUAUUUUUUUCUCUUUGCCUCUGUCAAAUCAAACUAUGAUGGAUUAAGAUGUUCACUUCAUGUUCUUGUACAUUAUGCAGGUGGUGUCAUGAUGCUAAGGUCACCUUUAGAAUUUUAUGCUGGUUUUGGUUUCAGUCUUCUUAAUUUUUCACUCCACUGAAUUUACAUAACCAAACUUAAGAUUGAUUAAAAAUGCUGUACUCGUGAUAAAAUUCAAAACAACCUCUUUCUUUGGAGUUUUGUUGUUUUAAUCACAACAGCCCUUGCUGUUCAUUUCAUUCCCUUGGUUUUCAAAUACGGAUUUAGCUAGUUCAUUCACUGCCUGAUUCUAUCUGCUUCACUCACUUUCUAACACAUAAGUGAAGCUCUCUCCAUUAGACAUUGAGAAUUUUCACAAACAUACAAGAUCUGAACCUUAGAAAACUACAUCAGGGACUCUUUUAAAAACUUGACCAAUCUCUUUUUCCACAUGUAAUUCAUCAAAUAUCUAGCCAUUUUCUGCCACAAUCAGUUCAGUGUCAAAUUUUCCAUUACAGAACACUAAGCAUUUCUUUCCACCUAAGAUUCUAAAGGAAAACAGAUCUCUUAUGCAGAAGAGCCAAGCCCGACCAAGAUUUUGGGACAAAACUCACUGUACUGUAGUAUAGACUAUGUAAAAGUUUUCAUUCAUAUGCAGUCCAGAACUCAUGGUAGGUAAAUCCUUUCAAGUUGGUUCCCUUAAUUUCUUUCUCCUCCAAGUACUAUAGUUACAUGGAUUGAGAGCUGAAAUAUUGCUCUCAUGAUAUUAUUGUGUUUUGGUUACUCUUUCUUUCUAAAACUAAACUUGGACAGCUUGUCUCAUCUGCUGUAUGAGACAGUACAGAAUGAAGACAUAAUAAUAGUACAUGGGUCUUUGCAUUAGGGCUCUUUUCUGUUUUUAAUUUUGUUUUUUAUCAUGUUUGACCGGUUAAUGGGAAUUAUAGCUAUGGAGGACCUCAAUUUCAAAGCUGAAUAAGAGGUUUCUAACACAGAAUAUAGUGUAUUCAUAAAUUCUUCAGAAUUGAGUUAUAUCUUGUGAUGAAGGUACUACAGGGAUGUGUCACAGUUGCAGAUUCCAUCAUUGCUCUACUCUUUCUGACGUACUCUUUCUUCAAUUGUCUCAAUCUGUGACAACUGUGAUCCUUUGAUUUUAAGGGAUAAUGUAUUUUAUAUUGACUUGAUUGAGAGUCAUAUGUGACAACUUAACAAGUACCUGAACAGUUAAAGUUAUAUAAGGAAAUGAUUUUUGGUAUUCAAAACAAAAGCAAGUUGAGCUUAAAGCAUAUUUUAGAAAUGAUAAAAGAGAUUUAUAUCAUGCAGCAUUGAAGUUGAAAGAACUUUGCCUCUUGACAAGCAACAACCAAAACAUCAAUUGACUUUUGCAUUGAUCUGCAUGCCAAAGAGAUGUGAUUCAAUGAUGGGUCUUCCUCUUCUGUUAAAGAAACACAACAAAGGAAAAACAGGUUGUGAUUGGUGUACCAAGUUUAAGUUUCAUCUAUGAUAUCUCUCAAGUACUAUGUGCUAUGAUAGAGUCUAUCAGAGAAAGAGAAUGUCUCAUGUACUAUGUGCUAUAGCAUACUGCUAUUUACAGAGAUGCAUAUGUGCUAUAUUCAAUUUUUAUAUUAAACUUAAGUCUUACAUAGUUAUAUCAAAUUUCACUAAAAUUGUCUUUUAAGUCGACUUAUCCAAUUUUAAAAUAAUUUUUUUUAAGAAGGGUAGGCAAUUCCUAACUAAGAUUUUUCACUUGGUUUUUCUUCCUUGUCUUUUUAUCUAUAUCAGUGUACUAUAUAUAGCAGACAAAGGAACAUUAUCAGUGUACUAUAUAUAGCAGACAAAGAAAAUGUUCCUGCAACAGCC